AUGAGAUAGAACUGGAAGAGUUGAGUCCUAUUGCAAAUGAAUUCAAUCCAAGUGCAAAUGAAUCUAGUAGCUUUCCUUCUGAUUUGAAUGAACUCCCUCAAGAUUUUGUCGAAUCAACAAUGGAUGUGAUUGCCACAACUCCACCGAGUCCUGUGGACAAUGAUGGGGCAGAACCUAGUGGAAGUGGCUGCUUUUGUUUGAUGAAUAUAUUGGAUAUAUUGGUAAGGAUAUGCCGCUUGGAUUCAUGCAACAUUUUUUGAUCGUCAUCUUUGGGAUCAUGAUUACCUUACAAGUGUAGCCUUCAAACUGCUAAAAAUUUGCUGUUGGAUAUCCAGAAUCCAAACUUCAACUCUGGAAUGCUCAGCCUUCAAAA
This is a long non-coding RNA of Pistacia vera, 373 nucleotides long. RefSeq lists it as uncharacterized. The record is from RefSeq and is a predicted model, not a curated record. The transcript is spliced from 3 exons. NCBI's taxonomy places the organism in Eukaryota, Viridiplantae, Streptophyta, Magnoliopsida, Sapindales, Anacardiaceae.